GGGUAGUUUGACUGGGGCGGUCUCCUCCCAAAGAGUAACGGAGGAGCACGAAGGUGGGCUAAUCACGGUUGGACAUCGUGAGGUUAGUGCAAUGGCAUAAGCCCGCUUAACUGCGAGAAUGACGGUUCGAGCAGGUGCGAAAGCAGGUCAUAGUGAUCCGGUGGUUCUGUAUGGAAGGGCCAUCGCUCAACGGAUAAAAGGUACUCCGGGGAUAACAGGCUGAUACCGCCCAAGAGUUCAUAUCGACGGCGGUGUUUGGCACCUCGAUGUCGGCUCAUCACAUCCUGGGGCUGAAGUCGGUCCCAAGGGUAUGGCUGUUCGCCAUUUAAAGUGGUACGCGAGCUGGGUUUAGAACGUCGUGAGACAGUUCGGUCCCUAUCUGCCGUGGGCGUUGGAAGAUUGAAGGGGGCUGCUCCUAGUACGAGAGGACCGGAGUGGACGAACCUCUGGUGUUCGGGUUGUGUCGCCAGACGCAUUGCCCGGUAGCUAAGUUCGGAAUUGAUAAGCGCUGAAAGCAUCUAAGCGCGAAGCGAGCCCUGAGAUGAGUCUUCCCUGAUACUUUAAGUAUCCUAAAGGGUUGUUCGAGACUAGAACGUUGAUAGGCAGGGUGUGUAAGCGUUGUGAGGCGUUGAGCUAACCUGUACUAAUUGCCCGUGAGGCUUAACC
This 666-nucleotide ribosomal RNA is filed under the name Vibrio cholerae. RNAcentral describes it as "partial 23S ribosomal RNA". It matches the Rfam family "Bacterial large subunit ribosomal RNA", at positions 2263 to 2925 of the family's 2925-position model. The record is from RNAcentral. Lineage: Bacteria; Pseudomonadati; Pseudomonadota; Gammaproteobacteria; Vibrionales; Vibrionaceae.